Molecule: long non-coding RNA, 451 nt
Filed under: Homo sapiens (human)
Lineage: Eukaryota; Metazoa; Chordata; Mammalia; Primates; Hominidae
Description: HSALNT0392752
Source: RNAcentral
CUAUCUUGCUAGUAGACCCUCUCCAUUAACUCUCUCUCUUUCUGAUUGAGUGUAAGCUGCUAUAUGAAGGGAUCCACAAGACGAAUAAUUAAGGGGGACCUCUGAUCAACAGCCAGCAAGGAACUGAAUCCCUCAGACCCACAACUCACAAGAAACUGAAGCUGAAGCAGAUUCUUCCUCAGUCAAGCUUCAGAAAGAAAUCAUGAGUGACCACUCAGCUCAAGGCUUCUCUGCUGAUGCCAUCCAGUGAGUUUCCUGGCAGCCAUCUUUUUAUGAAAGAAUAGAGGUCAGCCUGACUGCACUUCCAGAUGAUUAGAGCUCAAAUUUUCCUUUGAAAGAUGUUAAACUGCCUCAAUUUCCCCAAAUUGACCUCUCGCCAGAAGGUUAAGAGGAGAAUGGCCAAAGAAGCACAUCGUCUGCUGCUGAUUUCUCUGUGGCUAUGCAGAUACAC